RNAcentral lists this ribosomal RNA (1266 nucleotides) under metagenome. RNAcentral describes it as "bacterial LSU rRNA". It matches the Rfam family "Bacterial large subunit ribosomal RNA", at positions 1644 to 2925 of the family's 2925-position model. The record is from RNAcentral.
GUACCAUAACCGACACAGGUGGGUAGGUAGAGUAUACUAAGGGGCGCGAGAUAACUCUCUCUAAGGAACUCGGCAAAAUGACUCCGUAACUUCGGGAGAAGGAGUGCCUUAUUUAUAAGGUUGCAAUAACAAGAUCCAAGCAACUGUUUAUCAAAAACACAGGUCUCCGCUAAGUCGUAAGACGAUGUAUGGGGGCUGACGCCUGCCCAGUGCCAGAAGGUUAAAGAAGUUGGUUAGUGUAUGCGAAGCUGAUGACUGAAGCCCUGGUGAACGGCGGCCGUAACUAUAACGGUCCUAAGGUAGCGAAAUUCCUUGUCGGGUAAGUUCCGACCCGCACGAAAGGCGUAAUGAUUUGGAUACUGUCUCGGAGAGAGGCUCGGUGAAAUAGACUUGUCUGUGAAGAUGCGGACUACCUGCACCAGGACAGAAAGACCCUAUGAAGCUUUACUGUAACUUGAAAUUGGAAUUGGACUUUGCUUGCGCAGUAUAGGUGGGAAGCGUUGAAGAUAUUCUUGCGGGAGUAUUGGAGCUAUCAGUGAGAUACCACUCUUGUAAUGUUAGAUUUCUAACUUUGAACCAUAAUCUGGUCAAAGAACAGUUUCAGGUGGGCAGUUUGACUGGGGCGGUCGCCUCCCAAAUGGUAACGGAGGCGUACAAAGGUUUCCUCUGAACGGAUAGAAAUCGUAUCUAGAGUGUAAAGGCAUAAGGAAGCUUGACUGUGAGACCUACAAGUCGAGCAGGGACGAAAGUCGGUCUUAGUGAUCUGACGGUACUGAGUGGAAAGGCCGUCACUCAACGGAUAAAAGUUACUCUAGGGAUAACAGGCUGAUCUCCCCCAAGAGUUCACAUCGACGGGGAGGUUUGGCACCUCGAUGUCGGCUCAUCGCAUCCUGGGGCGGUAGUACGUCCCAAGGGUUGGGCUGUUCGCCCAUGAAAGCGGUACGCGAGCUGGGUUCAGAACGUCGUGAGACAGUUCGGUCCAUAUCCGGUGUAGGCGUUAGAAUAUUGAGAGGAGCCUUCUUUAGUACGAGAGGACCGAGAAGGACACACCGCUGGUGUACCAGUUAUCGUGCCAACGGUAAACGCUGGGUAGCUAUGUGUGGAGUGGAUAACCGCUGAAAGCAUCUAAGUGGGAAGCCCACCUCAAGAUGAGUACUCCCAUGGGGUUAACCCAGUAAGGUCACGGGAAGACCACCCGUUUAUAGGUUCUAGAUGGAAGCGCAGCAAUGUGUGAAGUCGAGGGAUACUAAUAGACCGAGGGCUUGU